CUCCCGCCUCAGCCCUCAGGAGGAGCCGCGGCCGCUCCUCGGGGGCCGCGCGGUCCCGGAGCCAGCGCUGCCUCCCGCGCCCGGGAUGGCGGGCACGGCUCCGGCCACUUCCACACAGGCACGGAACAGCGCCGGGGAGAGACAAGAAGUGGAUUCACAUCUGACUUCCCUCUCCUGUUGGUGCAAUGCAUCGAAGUUAUGGUUACCCUGCUCUGGAAGGAUAUGGGAAUGUCAUGCUACUUUUCCUAACACUCUUUGGCUGUGGGAAGCUGCAUUCUAUGGCUGCAUAUGUAACAACUGAACAAUACCACAUCCUAAUCAGCGCUCUGCUGCAAAACUAUUAAAGGAAUUGCAGCAACAUCAUUGUGGACUUGAAGACAGAAGCUAAUUUCAUUUUGAUACAAUCGGAAAAGUAAAUGCAAAGAAAAAAUAAACCUCUGUAUGUGUUGUAAUUCAUAAAACAAACAUGAAACUUUGUGUG
Pseudopipra pipra is the source of this 481-nucleotide long non-coding RNA. RefSeq lists it as uncharacterized. The transcript is spliced from 3 exons. The record is from RefSeq and is a predicted model, not a curated record. NCBI's taxonomy places the organism in Eukaryota, Metazoa, Chordata, Aves, Passeriformes, Pipridae.